RNAcentral lists this ribosomal RNA (253 nucleotides) under uncultured microorganism. RNAcentral describes it as "partial 16S ribosomal RNA". It matches the Rfam family "Bacterial small subunit ribosomal RNA", at positions 524 to 776 of the family's 1533-position model. The record is from RNAcentral.
UACGGAGGUUGCAAGCGUUGUUCGGAAUUACUGGGCGUAAAGGGAGCGCAGGCGGUCGGGUCUGUCUGAAGUGAAAGCCCGUGGCUCAACCCCGGAACUGCCUCUGAUACUGCAAGACUAGAGACUAGGAGAGGGUGGUGGAAUUCCCAGUGUAGAGGUGAAAUUCGUAGAUAUUGGGAGGAACACCAGAGGCGAAGGCGGCCACCUGGACUAGAUCUGACGCUCAGGUGCGAAAGCGUGGGGAGCAAACCGG